This 254-nucleotide ribosomal RNA is filed under the name uncultured bacterium. RNAcentral describes it as "partial 16S ribosomal RNA". It matches the Rfam family "Bacterial small subunit ribosomal RNA", at positions 524 to 776 of the family's 1533-position model. The record is from RNAcentral.
UACGUAGGGAGCGAGCGUUGUCCGGAUUUAUUGGGCGUAAAGAGCUCGUAGGCGGUUUGGUAAGUCGGGUGUGAAAGCUCCGGGCUCAACUCGGAGAGGUCACUCGAUACUGCCAUGACUGGAGUCCGGUAGGGGGGUGUGGAAUUCCCAGUGUAGCGGUGAAAUGCGCAGAUAUCAGGAGGAACACCGGUGGCGAAGGCGGGUCUCUGGGCAAUUCCUGACGCUGAGGCGCGAAAGCGUGGGGAGCAAACGGG